Molecule: ribosomal RNA, 253 nt
Filed under: uncultured bacterium
Lineage: Bacteria
Description: partial 16S ribosomal RNA
Rfam family: Bacterial small subunit ribosomal RNA
Source: RNAcentral
UACAGAGGGUGCGAGCGUUGUCCGGAAUCACUGGGCGUAAAGGGCGCGUAGGCGGCUUUUCAAGCGUGUGGUGAAAGCUCGGGGCUCAACCCCGAGUCGGCCAUGCGAACUGGGAGGCUUGAGCACGGUAGAGGCACAUGGAAUUCCGGGUGUAGCGGUGGAAUGCGUAGAGAUCCGGAGGAACACCGGUGGCGAAGGCGGUGUGCUGGGCCGUAGCUGACGCUGAUGAGCGACAGCGUGGGGAGCAAACAGG